CCUACGGGUGGCAGCAGUGAGGAAUAUUGGUCAAUGGGAGGAAUCCUGAACCAGCCAUGCCGCGUGCAGGACGACGGCUCUACGAGUUGUAAACUGCUUUUGUACCGGGGUAAAAUGCUCUACGAGUAGGGUUUUGAAAGUACGGUACGAAUAAGGAUCGGCUAACUCCGUGCCAGCAGCCGCGGUAAUACGGAGGAUCCGAGCGUUAUCCGGAUUUAUUGGGUUUAAAGGGUGCGUAGGUUGUUUUAUAAGUUAGCGGUGAAAUACCGAUGCUCAACAUCGGGGCUGCCGCUGAUACUGUAGGACUAGAGAUCGGAUGCAGCAGGCGGAAUGUGUAGUGUAGCGGUGAAAUGCAUAGAUAUUACACAGAACACCGAUUGCGAAGGCAGCUUGCUAGGCCGGAUCUGACACUGAUGCACGAAAGCGUGGGGAUCGAACAGGAUUAGAUACCCUUGUAGUC
This 460-nucleotide ribosomal RNA is filed under the name uncultured bacterium. Its description in RNAcentral is "partial 16S ribosomal RNA". It matches the Rfam family "Bacterial small subunit ribosomal RNA", at positions 338 to 795 of the family's 1533-position model. The record is from RNAcentral.